RNAcentral lists this small RNA (553 nucleotides) under Pan troglodytes (chimpanzee). Its description in RNAcentral is "retained intron". The record is from RNAcentral. Lineage: Eukaryota; Metazoa; Chordata; Mammalia; Primates; Hominidae.
CCGCCCCCUGCGCCGCCCCCUCCGAGGCUAAAUCGGCUGCGUUCCUCUCGGAACGCGCCGCAGAAGGGGUCCUGGUGACGAGUCCCGCGUUCUCUCCUUGAAUCCACUCGCCAGCCCGCCGCCCUCUGCCGCCGCACCCUGCACACCCGCCCCUCUCCUGUGCCAGGAACUUGCUACUACCAGCACCAUGCCCUACCAAUAUCCAGCACUGACCCCGGAGCAGAAGAAGGAGCUGUCUGACAUCGCUCACCGCAUCGUGGCACCUGGCAAGGGCAUCCUGGCUGCAGAUGAGUCCACUGGUGCGGGCAGGAGACAGAAUGGGUGGAGGGUGCAGGGUUGGGAGUGGCAGGCUGAUCCCUAAUUCCCAUGUGACACUCCCAGGGAGCAUUGCCAAGCGGCUGCAGUCCAUUGGCACCGAGAACACCGAGGAGAACCGGCGCUUCUACCGCCAGCUGCUGCUGACAGCUGACGACCGCGUGAACCCCUGCAUUGGGGGUGUCAUCCUCUUCCAUGAGACACUCUACCAGAAGGCGGAUGAUGGGCGUCCCUUCCC